This 497-nucleotide ribosomal RNA is filed under the name uncultured bacterium. Its description in RNAcentral is "partial 16S ribosomal RNA". It matches the Rfam family "Bacterial small subunit ribosomal RNA", at positions 28 to 507 of the family's 1533-position model. The record is from RNAcentral.
GAUGAACGCUGGCGGCGUGCCUAAUACAUGCAAGUCGAGCGAACAGGCGAGGAGCUUGUUCCGCUGACGUGAGCGGCGGACGGGUGAGUAACGCGUGGAGAACCUACCUAUAAGCGGGGGAUAACUUUGGGAAACGGGAGCUAAUACCGGAUAAUCUCUUUAAACACAUGGUUCAAUAGUAAAAGACGGAUGUGCUGGACACUAUAGUUGGAUCCGGGCCUCUUUGUCUAGUUGGGAAGGUCAGGGCUUACGAAGGGAGCGAUGCGUGGCCGACUGGAAGGGGUGAUCGGCCACAUUGGAACUGGACCCCGGUCCAGGCGCCUACGGGAGGAGGCAGUAGGGAACCUUCCGCAAUGGGGGAAAGCCUGCCGGAGCAACGCGGCGUGAUUGAUAAAGGUCUUCGGUUCGUAAAACUCUGUUAUUAGGGAAGAACAAAUUUGUAAGUAACUAUGCACGUCGUGACGGUAACUAAUCAGAAAGCCACGGCUAACUACGUG